GAUGAACGCUGGCGGCGUGCCUAAUACAUGCAAGUCGAGCGAACAGACGAGGAGCUUGCUCCUCUGACGUUAGCGGCGGACGGGUGAGUAACACGUGGAUAACCUACCUAUAAGACUGGGAUAACUUCGGGAAACCGGAGCUAAUACCGGAUAAUAUAUUGAACCGCAUGGUUCAAUAGUGAAAGACGGUUUUGCUGUCACUUAUAGAUGGAUCCGCGCCGCAUUAGCUAUUUGGUAAGGUAACGGCUUACCAAGGCAACGAUGCGUAGCCGACCUGAGAGGUUGAUCGGCCACACUGGAACUGAGACACGGUCCAGACUCCUACGGGAGGCAGCAGUAGGGAAUCUUCCGCCAUGGGCGAAAGCUUGACGGAGCAACGCCGCGUGAGUGAUGAAGGUCUUCGGAUCGUAAAACUCUGUUAUUAGGAAAGAACAAAUGUGUAAGUAACUAUGCACGUCUUGACGGUACCUAAUCAGAAAGCCACGGCUAACUACGUG
RNAcentral lists this ribosomal RNA (497 nucleotides) under uncultured bacterium. RNAcentral describes it as "partial 16S ribosomal RNA". It matches the Rfam family "Bacterial small subunit ribosomal RNA", at positions 28 to 507 of the family's 1533-position model. The record is from RNAcentral.